This 376-nucleotide ribosomal RNA is filed under the name uncultured organism. RNAcentral describes it as "partial 16S ribosomal RNA". It matches the Rfam family "Bacterial small subunit ribosomal RNA", at positions 527 to 896 of the family's 1533-position model. The record is from RNAcentral.
GUAGGGUGCAAGCGUUAUCCGGAAUCAUUGGGCGUAAAGAGCUCGUAGGCGGUUCAGCAAGUCGGCUGUGAAAUCCCGAGGCUUAACCUCGGAACUGCAGUCGAUACUGCUGUGACUAGAAUCCGGUAGAGGAGAAUGGAAUUCCCGGUGUAGCGGUGAAAUGCGCAGAUAUCGGGAGGAACACCAGUAGCGAAGGCGGUUCUCUGGGCCGGUACUGACGCUGAGGAGCGAAAGCGUGGGGUAGCAAACAGGAUUAGAUACCCUGGUAGUCCACGCCGUAAACGUUGGACACUAGGUGUGGCGUUCCGACCAACGGGUGCCGUGCCGAAGCUAACGCAUUAAGUGUCCCCGCCUGGGGAGUACGGCCGCAAGGCUA